GCAGCGACGCCGCGUGAGGGAUGACGGCCUUCGGGUUGUAAACCUCUUUCAGCAGGGAAGAAGCCACAAGUGACGGUACCUGCAGAAGAAGCGCCGGCUAACUACGUGCCAGCAGCCGCGGUAAUACGUAGGGCGCAAGCGUUGUCCGGAAUUAUUGGGCGUAAAGAGCUCGUAGGCGGUUUGUCGCGUCUGCUGUGAAAGCCCGGGGCUCAACCCCGGGUCUGCAGUGGGUACGGGCAGACUAGAGUGCAGUAGGGGAGACUGGAAUUCCUGGUGUAGCGGUGAAAUGCGCAGAUAUCAGGAGGAACACCGAUGGCGAAGGCAGGUCUCUGGGCUGUUACUGACGCUGAGGAGCGAAAGCAUGGGGAGCGAACAGGAUUAGAUACCCUGGUAGUCCAUGCCGUAAACGUUGGGCACUAGGUGUGGGGGACAUUCCACGUUCUCCGCGCCGUAGCUAACGCAUUAAGUGCCCCGCCUGGGGAGUACGGCCGCAAGGCUAAAACU
This 504-nucleotide ribosomal RNA is filed under the name Kocuria sp. MN03-04. RNAcentral's name for it is "bacterial SSU rRNA". It matches the Rfam family "Bacterial small subunit ribosomal RNA", at positions 388 to 901 of the family's 1533-position model. The record is from RNAcentral. Lineage: Bacteria; Bacillati; Actinomycetota; Actinomycetes; Micrococcales; Micrococcaceae.